Cygnus olor (mute swan) is the source of this 837-nucleotide long non-coding RNA. RefSeq lists it as uncharacterized. The record is from RefSeq and is a predicted model, not a curated record. NCBI's taxonomy places the organism in Eukaryota, Metazoa, Chordata, Aves, Anseriformes, Anatidae. The transcript has 3 exons.
UUUAAGUGUGCAUGUAGGUGCAUACUAAACUGUAUAAUUGAGGGAUUUGUCAGUUCUGUUAUCAUCUUUCCUCUUCUAAAUGAUCAGAUCAAUGCGUAGUUUUAUGGAAGUGAGCAAUCUUUGUGGACUUCAGUGCUUUGCUAAAUUGAUCUGCUAUCUUGGAAGCCCCAGAAUAUUUUGGGUCAAACUGUGCACAGAGCACAGCAAGGGGUGGGACAGCCUUGCUGAGGUGGAGGAGGAAGGCAAAUGGCAGAUCCCUGAGAGGCAGCGGCCAUGUCGCCACUUCCCAGGAGAGGAGAGACGAUGCCACAGGCGGCUGUAACACACGGGCAGCGUUUGUCUGUCCUCUGUCGGUACUCGGUCUGCGGCCCCAUGGCACCAGCCCGGCCUGGUUCCUCAGCACCGCCAUUUGCUGCCGGGAGGCAGCGGGUAAGAAGAUGUCGUUCGCAAAGAUGGCGGCGGGCGGGAAGGUUGUGGUGGCCGAGGGAGGGCGCUCCAGGGCCGCUGGCCUUCUUCGUGAGCUGGCUCUGUGCGACGGGAGCUAAUCCUGAUUUAUAGCUCCGGUUUUUAAUCUGAUGUGGCUCAAGCUUCAGCAAACUCUGAGGGAUGCAGGCUGUUCCAGUAGUUUCCUGAUGUUUGUAUUUCCUUUUCAUUGCUGCAGAUUACUCCUCACUCUCUCUUGUAUGUGAUAAAAGGAAUCCAAAACAAUAUUUCCAAUAUUGAGAAAUCAUUUAGGAUAAGUCAGAAGAGACACCUGCAACAUACCAGGCUGAGGCAGGAAGAAUAACCUGCAGAAAUACAAGAUAAGAAAGAUCGGGAAAAGUUCUACAGAAUAGA